AUGCUCGUCUGAUCUUUCACUGCUCCAAUAGCUUGUCUGAUCUUGCUCUGGGACAUUGUAUCUGUUAAUUUUAUAUGCAGCUCUAAUUGAAUUGCAGGAGAGAAGUUUCAACCUGAAUGGUAUUCAAUAGAACAGUGAAUAUUGCUACAUACAUUUCUGCAUUAUAUAUAAUUAUAAUGGAUGUUAUAAUUAAUAAUUAAUAUCUGCAUUUGUAUGUAAUUUGGCAGGCCUUCAUUUUGUACUGGGAUCUGGAAUGCAUCAACACAAGAAUGAACAUGCAAUGGGAAGAGUUUAGAAGUGCAUGCAUGUAUUUACCUCAACAGGAGGAUAAGCCAAACGAUGUAUGUCCGGAAUUGAUCAAAAUAAAUAGUGACGAAAUUAAUAUCAUUCUGUACAAAACACUUCUAUUCAGACUGUAAUUAAUUUAUUUUUUGUUCAAAAAAAAAAGUGAAGAGAAGACGGAGGGAGGCUUUCUAUCUCCCUAUCCUUGUUAGCCUGUGUCAUUUCCUCUUCCAAAAUUUUCCAACUCUACCGUGCAUAAUCCUCUUUUUCA
This 553-nucleotide long non-coding RNA is filed under the name Daucus carota (carrot). RNAcentral describes it as "long non-coding RNA (DCAR_LNC004321)". The record is from RNAcentral. Lineage: Eukaryota; Viridiplantae; Streptophyta; Magnoliopsida; Apiales; Apiaceae.